CCCUGGACUGCAAAAGCCUUCCGAGCAGAAUGACAGAAACCCAUUGGGAAAGAUCAACUAUUCAACCUAAAGCUAAAAAACCUUGGACUUUGAAGUCAGUAGGUGAAACAGCAGCAGGCAGCAUCAUUGGCCAAGCCACCAGAAGUUAGAAACAUUCUUCACCUGCUCAACUUGAAAAAAAAAGACCAGGCUCCUGCUUAUCUCCUGCCCGGUGUUACUUGGGGAAGAGGUGACUGAGAUGUCUCUGGGUUGUGCUGGGCCUGCUGAGUUGCAGUGGAUGGAUGGGAACGUGGUGAUUAGACAAAUAGGUAUUAGCACUCAUCUCCUAACCCCCAUCUUUUCAAGAUCUCGACACUCCAGUCCCUCCUCUGAUCUUCUGCCCUGAGCACCUUGGCACCGCUCUGGAAGACCCGGGCCAUGAAAGGACUUGGACAAGCAAAUGUUUUGCAGUGUUGACCUCUGAAAUUCCAUCAAAUAUUCUUUUUCCAUGUGACUUUUUUCUCUCUUUCCUUUCUUAUUUCCUUCCUUCCUUCCUGCCUGCCUUCCUAGAAUUUUAAGAAAAAGAAAGGAAAACGUGAGAGAAAAGGGAGAUGAAUUUUUAUGAACUCUGUGAUUACGUAUAAUAUGGCUAAAAUUACAUAAUAUUGUUCCUAUAUAAGGAUAGUUUUAAGCACCUGGUUAUUAAAGGUGUUCUUUCAGACUACCAGUAAACAGAGACUGCAUAUCCACAAAUUUCUUGUUGUUUAGAGCA
This is a long non-coding RNA of Artibeus jamaicensis (Jamaican fruit-eating bat), 751 nucleotides long. RefSeq lists it as uncharacterized. NCBI's taxonomy places the organism in Eukaryota, Metazoa, Chordata, Mammalia, Chiroptera, Phyllostomidae. The record is from RefSeq and is a predicted model, not a curated record. The transcript has 4 exons.